CUGUGGUUGAUUUCAAAAGAAAGUGAUUCUAUUUUUUAAAGAAAGUGUUGUUAAUGUAAUCGGUGACCCUCCUCAUAAUUUUUUUUUUUUAAGUUCACAAUAUACUUGGUCCAGAGUUUUCUUUUCUUUUUUUUUAAUCUAGUGAAUGGCAUUUAAAUAUUUCAUAAAAUUAUGCACAGAUACACGUUGGAGUCCAGAGCUCAGUUAAGUGAACAGCAGGCUGGUGAGAGAGGCUCCCCCGUGUCCCUGACUGCCUUUAGUAGGUGGCACCACCCUGUGCACAGAGCACUAGGGAAGAGCAGAACUCCAGCCUCGCCGCUGAGGCUGGUUUCCACCGUGCCGGGCUCCGGUCAUGUCUCCUCCCAACAUGGAUAGCAGAUGGGUCACUGUGGAGGAGUUAGUUCUAGCCUGGGUUAUUGUUACUGUCUUUACUCAAUAAGUUACCAAUUUCAGCCCGUCUUUGCUUUUAUGCAGUUUUAAACUUUGAUUUCUUUCUGUAGCACCUUCUUCAUUUUCAGUUGUAAAAAGUGACUUUCGCCUCAUGAAAGAUUUGAGUACAUCUCCCAUGUUGUCACACACUACAGGUGUGUCCCAGUCAUUUUUGCAAAUUCUAGGGGAAAUUUUUUUCUCAAUAGGAGAGUCACACAGGACAAAGUUAACAGCUUAAGAACUCUUAAUUCUGUGAGUUGAGAACUUCGACAUCUGAUAUUAUAGCAUUUGUUUGAAUCUAGGAAAGAUUUAUUUCACUUGCAGAAUUUGGUUUCUUUAUUGGACUUCAUGAACUCUCUUUUUUUGUAUUGGUUAUCAAUUUUUUUUUUGGUGUUAAAGGUUAUCAUCUGUAACUUUUCCAGAUUUUGGGGGUGGGUGGGAGGUGUUAUGAAAUUGUCUUUCUCCAGGCCAGAAAUAACCUGGGGAAAUUCUAAUCCAAGAACUGUGUGUUGAGCUGUUCCUUUUGAGCCAGCAUCACCUGUCAGUUAGCACCUGGUAUAAAAGCCUCAGUGUCCCCAGCAGUGUGAUGAGGGUUAUUUUUAUAGCAUUCCACUUUCCUAAUGUCAGGUGUGAAAUCAGAUUUUCAUGAUCUUAACCAAUGUUUUACCCUUGUAGUCAAGGAUGAAGGGAUAAGAGAUGGUCUUCAUGUGGAAGGAUAUCUUCUUUAAUUAAAAAUUAGAGGUAUUUUUCUCAGAACUGAAAAUUGUGAUGUUGAGGCUUAUUUGCAGAGGACUGAACUAAAUUCAGUGGAUUCUUGCUUUUAAUGUGAGAGCAUGGAAAGUGUGGAUUACACAUUCCUGGGGUGAGAGUAUUUUUCUUUAGUUGGAUUUUGCAUUGUUAGUUUUCAGUACUGACCUGUUGGGAAAGCAUACUUUUUCACAGCUAGGUACCAAAUGCAGAGGCUCAACGAAGCAUAAAGCUGGGAAGAGCAAGUUUUUCAUUUAUUAGCAAGCAUAGCUGGUUUGGAAAGGGAUUAAAGCCUUAAGUGAACAAAUCUAGCUAAUGGUGAAUGAACUAGGUAGUUAACUUGCAUACUUUUGAUUUCCUUUGGCUAAAGGUAACCCAUACUUCUCUGUCCAGAGAUAGGAGAGGUGUGAUUGCUUCAGUGUUAGUUUUCUUUUUUUUUCUUCCUAUUUGUCCCUAGUCAAUUUUUAGCAAGCUAGAAAACUAUGGAUUCUACACAGGGCAGCUCUUUGUGAAAGUGGUUUAUUUUGGCCACCGGAGAAAGAGUUGGGAUUGAAAAAUCAAGUGGCGCCUGUCUGUUUUUUGCCCCACAGAAAACACAGUUCCUAUAAUAAAAUAGAGGAAAGAAGCCGCUGUGAGGAGCUCGGCUCCUAAC
Molecule: long non-coding RNA, 1828 nt
Filed under: Bos taurus (domestic cattle)
Lineage: Eukaryota; Metazoa; Chordata; Mammalia; Artiodactyla; Bovidae
Description: long non-coding RNA NONBTAT017116
Source: RNAcentral